UCCAGCCAUUUCCACCCUCUGGCAGGGAAACUUCUCCUCCUCCAACCCUCUCCACAUCCUGUCUACACCCUCAAUGAUCGUGCCGACUCUCUUCCAAGCCCAACUUCAUCGAGCUCUCCCCACCGUCUCCAGCAUCCGGAUCUGGCACCAACGCACCUUCUUCCACCCGCUUACCGCAUCGCACCCGCCAGUAGUAAGUGAGAUGGUCGGAGGGGCAUGAAUAUUCAUGGAGUGGAGCAGUUGGGUGAUAAAGAAGACCAAGGUCAUUGCCGACCACAGCUUCAUCCCCCUCAUCAUCGUUAUUGGGAUUAACUCCAAGCCCAAACCUCAUCUCUCUCAGCUCCUUAGCCGCAUCUGAGCCGCCAAUCCUUUCGAUUCCAAUUCCGAAUUCUCUCCUCAGUGGGCACCUCUACAUGCCCAUACAUUGCUGUUGGUUUGCUUACACCCCGUCUUCAAUUGCAACAAGUUCUAUGUCGUUAAUUGAACCCAAAUCUGGAGACAGUAUUGUUUCAAAAUAGUGCACUGUUUAUUGCCUACCAACUGUAUGAUCAUUUGCCCAUACAUCAUCAUAAGUUGAGAUGCCAUUCAAGCCUACUCAUAUUCUUAUGCAGGAUUUUACUGGUGUUCCAGCUGUUGUUGGCCUUGCUUGCAUGUGUGAUGCUAUGAACAAGCUUGGAAGUGAUUCUAAUAAGAUCAAUCCAUUGGCACAUCCCCAACAUCCAGGCUGGUCUUGUUUGUCCCUCUGCUCUAUCUAAUGUUUUAGCUAAUUCGCUCUAUAAAUUCUAUGAUCCUAAUAACCUUGGAUUCAGAAAUUAUCAGAAUGGGAUGGACACUGCUUCUGGUUUCUCCUAUGUCAGCUUUCACAGUGCCUUGGUUGCAGACAAGUUUCAAUGUCUUAUUCCAACGCCCAUCUUUCAAGUGUUAUGCAGCAAAUUCUUAGUUAGCUUAGCAGCUUCAUGACACACUUGUUCGAUAGUCCAACUAAAUCCUUCCUUUAGCUUUUACUUCCACAUCUUCUAUUUGGUUAUGCUGUUUGCAACAGGUGUAUUCUCAUUUGCAAUAUAAGGUUGCUGUUUUCCUUAUUUCUCACAUCGCCUGCAACAACAAAUUUAAGAAGUUUUCUGCACCUUUGUUACUUGCAUUGUUAUGAUGUAUGUCUUGGGAUCUCCAAUAGCUUGCUCUCAGUACUUAUCCAUGGCUCUGUUUCUCCAGCAACUAUCGAUGUAUGAUGUUCACAACAUCUGUUAUAUCUAUUAUAUCUGUUGGUAGGCCUGCACUAUGUUUAAGUUCUCUAACUGUAAUGUUGUUGUCACUGUAUAUUUCUUAUCUUUGGCAAUGAUCCUUGGACUUCCUCCUAUUUUUGGUGUUCUUGCUUGGGUUUAUCUUUUCCAAGUUAAUGUAUAUAGGGUUCUGUUGUUCUAUUGUAUUUAUAUUGGGUUAAGUUCUUGCUAUUGUAUUUAUGUGUCUGAACAUGAUAAGUUGUUACUUUUCUUCCAACUGAUAAAGCUUGUCUGCUUCUAUUUCACUCAGUACAGGUAGAUGUUGCUAGGUCAGAGAAUGCUUUUCAGGCAAGCAAGGAACUUAAAUUCCAAAGGAACAAAAAGAGAUUCAGCUUUCUUAAAUGGGGAUCUACUGCUUUUCAUAAUAUUUUUAUUUUUCCUCCAAGUUCUGGUAUCAUACAUUGGGUAUCAGAGUUCUAAAUUAUCGUAAAAGCUGUUACAUGCUUUCCCCCUUGCAUUGAAUUUAUUUUGUAUUAACUUCCACUGAUAUGGUUAGUAUCAUUAAUGAGGAUCACCAUAAUCUUCUAAUAGUUUUAUCUGACUAUGCAGUGAAAAUAUCUCAGGUUAAUUUAGAAUAUCUUGGUCAAGUUGUCUUCAACACCGAUGGCAUUCUAUAACCUAAUAGUGUGGUUGGGACUGAUUUGGACACAACUAUUAUUGAUGGAUUAAGAGUCACAGGCUGGGGAGUUGGAGAUGGUACCUGCUUAGGCAUCGGAUGAAUUGCUUUGGGCUUUAGUUUUUUUCUUUUUUAUAUUUUUGUAUAGAUUCCAAUGAAUUGUAACAAAUACUUUUGCUUUAUCACUUUUGUGGAGUGUUUGUACUUUUGCUUUAAGAAUGUAAUUUACAUUUUAAAUUUGGU
Long non-coding RNA from Elaeis guineensis (African oil palm), 2139 nucleotides. RefSeq lists it as uncharacterized. The record is from RefSeq and is a predicted model, not a curated record. Lineage: Eukaryota; Viridiplantae; Streptophyta; Magnoliopsida; Arecales; Arecaceae.